This 1316-nucleotide ribosomal RNA is filed under the name metagenome. RNAcentral describes it as "bacterial LSU rRNA". It matches the Rfam family "Bacterial large subunit ribosomal RNA", at positions 873 to 2164 of the family's 2925-position model. The record is from RNAcentral.
CUUAUGGCGUUAUGAUAGCUUGCCGGGGGUAGAGCACUGGAUGGACUAGGGGGCAUACCCGCUUACCAAACCCAACCAAACUUCGAAUACCGGCUAAGUAUUUCAUAGCAGACAGCCCGCGGGUGAUAAGAUCCGUGGACGAAAGGGAAACAACCCGGACCAUCGACUAAGUGUCCCAAAGUAUGUGCUAAGUGGGAAAGGAUGUGGGAUUGCUUAGACAGCCAGGAGGUUAGCUUAGAAGCAGCUACCCUUUAAAGAAAGCGUAAUAGCUCACUGGUCAAGCGAUCCCGCGCCAAAAAUGAUCGGGACUAAGCACGUCACCGAAGUCGUGGAUUCAUAAUUUUUAAUUAUGAGUGGUAGGAGAGCGUUCCGUAGGCCCGGGAAGGCGGGUGGUGAUGCCCGCUGGAGGUAUCGGAAAUGAGAAUGCUGGCAUGAGUAUGCGAAAAUGCAGGUGAAAAACCUGCACACCGUAAGUCUAAGGUUUCCUGGGUAAAGCUAAUCUUCCCAGGGUUAGUCGGGUCCUAAGGCGAGGCCGAGAGGCGUAGUCGAUGGCAAUCGGGUUAAUAAUCCCGAACCGCAAAUAACGCGUUAUUACCGAUGGGGUGACGCAUGGAGCAGAAUUUAGCCACUGAUGGAUGUGGCGGAUUGCGCGUAAGAUGUACAGGUGGCAAAUCCCCUGUACGCGUAUCUGAGACGCAGGACCUUUUGAGGGCUUCGGCCCAAAGAAGAGUAAUUCCGGUCUGUGCCAGGAAAAACCUCUAAGGGAGUUUUAUUUGUGCCCGUACCGUAAACCGACACAGGUAGACGAGGCGAAUAGCCUAAGGUGCUCGAGACAACUCGGGAGAAGGAACUCGGCAAAUUAACCCCGUAACUUCGGGAUAAGGGGAGCCUCCAUUUGUUAGUGUGAACAGCACAAAGCAUAAGGAGGCCGCAGAGAAAUGGCAGAAGCCACUGUUUACCAAAAACACAGGGCUAUGCAAACCCGUAAGGGAAAGUAUAUAGUCUGACACGUGCCCGGUGCUGGAAGGUUAACAGGAGAUGUCAGCGCAAGCGAAGCAUUGAAUCGAAGCCCCAGUAAACGGCGGCCGUAACGAUAACGGUCCUAAGGUAGCGAAAUUCCUUGUCGGGUAAGUUCCGACCUGCACGAAUCGUGUAACGACUUCUGCACUGUCUCCUCCCGGGACUCGGCGAAAUUGCAGUGUCGGUGAAGAUGCCGACAACCCGCACCUGGACGGAAAGACCCCAUGAACCUUCACUGUAUUUUGACAUUGGUUUUAGGCUUGACAUGUGUAGGAUAGGUGGGAGGCUUUGAAGCG